AGAGUUUGAUCCUGGCUCAGGAUGAACGCUGGCUGUGUGCCUAAUACAUGCAUGUCGAGCGAGGUUCUUUUGAACCUAGCGGCGAAUGGGUGAGUAACACGUGCUUAAUCUACCCUUUAGAUUGGAAUACCCAAUGGAAACAUUGGCUAAUGCCGGAUACGCAUGGAAUCGCAUGAUUCCGUUGUGAAAGGAGCCUUUAAAGCUCCGCUAGAGGAUGAGGGUGCGGAACAUUAGUUAGUUGGUAGGGUAAUGGCCUACCAAGACUAUGAUGUUUAGCCGGGUCGAGAGACUGAACGGCCACAUUGGGACUGAGAUACGGCCCAAACUCCUACGGGAGGCAGCAGUAGGGAAUAUUCCACAAUGAGCGAAAGCUUGAUGGAGCGACACAGCGUGCACGAUGAAGGUCUUCGGAUUGUAAAGUGCUGUUAUAGGGAAAGAACACCUGGUUGAGGAAAUGCUUCCAGGCUGACGGUACCCUGUCAGAAAGCGAUGGCUAACUAUGUGCCAGCAGCCGCGGUAAUACAUAGGUCGCAAGCGUUAUCCGGAAUUAUUGGGCGUAAAGCGUUCGUAGGCUGUUUAUUAAGUCUGGAGUCAAAUCCCAGGGCUCAACCCUGGCUCGCUUUGGAUACUGGUAAACUAGAGUUAGAUAGAGGUAAGCGGAAUUCCAUGUGAAGCGGUGAAAUGCGUAGAUAUAUGGAAGAACACCAAAGGCGAAGGCAGCUUACUGGGUCUAUACUGACGCUGAGGGACGAAAGCGUGGGGAGCAAACAGGAUUAGAUACCCUGGUAGUCCACGCCGUAAACGAUGAUCAUUAGUCGGUGGAGAGUUCACUGACGCAGCUAACGUAUUAAAUGAUCCGCCUGAGUAGUAUGCUCGCAAGAGUGAAACUUAAAGGAAUUGACGGGGACCCGCACAAGCGGUGGAGCAUGUGGUUUAAUUUGAAGAUACGCGGAGAACCUUACCCACUCUUGACAUCCUUCGCAAUGCUAUAGAGAUAUAGCGGAGGUUAACGGAGUGACAGAUGGUGCAUGGUUGUCGUCAGCUCGUGUCGUGAGAUGUUUGGUCAAGUCCUGCAACGAGCGCAACCCCUAUCUUUAGUUACUAACGAGUCAUGUCGAGGACUCUAGAGAAUACUGCCUGGGUAACUGGGAGGAAGGUGGGGAUGACGUCAAAUCAUCAUGCCUCUUACGAGUGGGGCAACACACGUGCUACAAUGGUCGGUACAAAGAGAAGCAAUAUGGCGACAUGGAGCAAAUCUCAAAAAGCCGAUCUCAGUUCGGAUUGGAGUCUGCAAUUCGACUCCAUGAAGUCGGAAUCGCUAGUAAUCGCAGAUCAGCUACGCUGCGGUGAAUACGUUCUCGGGUCUUGUACACACCGCCCGUCGCACCAUGGGAGCUGGUAAUACCCAAAGUCGGUUAGCUAACCUCGGAGGCGACCGCCUAAGGUAGGACUGGUGACUGGGGUAAAGUCGUAACAAGGUAUCCCUACGAGAACGUGGGGAUGGAUCACCU
RNAcentral lists this ribosomal RNA (1511 nucleotides) under Chlamydia trachomatis. RNAcentral's name for it is "16S ribosomal RNA". It matches the Rfam family "Bacterial small subunit ribosomal RNA". Lineage: Bacteria; Pseudomonadati; Chlamydiota; Chlamydiia; Chlamydiales; Chlamydiaceae. The record is from RNAcentral.